AUGAACGCUGGCGGCGUGCCUCAUACAUGCAAGUCGAGCGAACGGACGAGAAGCUUGCUUCUCUGAUGUUAGCGGCGGACGGGUGAGUAACACGUGGAUAACCUACCUAUAAGACUGGGAUAACUUCGGGAAACCGGAGCUAAUACCGGAUAAUAUUUUGAACCGCAUGGUUCAAAAGUGAAAGACGGUCUUGCUGUCACUUAUAGAUGGAUCCGCGCUGCAUUAGCUAGUUGGUAAGGUAACGGCUUACCAAGGCAACGAUGCAUAGCCGACCUGAGAGGGUGAUCGGCCACACUGGAACUGAGACACGGUCCAGACUCCUACGGGAGGCAGCAGUAGGGAAUCUUCCGUAAUGGGCGAAAGCCUGACGGAGCAACGCCGCGUGAGUGAUGAAGGUCUUCGGAUCGUAAAACUCUGUUAUUAGGGAAGAACAUAUGUGUAAGUAACUGUGCACAUCUUGACGGUACCUAAUCAGAAAGCCACGGCUAACUACGUG
RNAcentral lists this ribosomal RNA (496 nucleotides) under uncultured bacterium. Its description in RNAcentral is "partial 16S ribosomal RNA". It matches the Rfam family "Bacterial small subunit ribosomal RNA", at positions 29 to 507 of the family's 1533-position model. The record is from RNAcentral.